Molecule: long non-coding RNA, 2282 nt
Filed under: Homo sapiens (human)
Lineage: Eukaryota; Metazoa; Chordata; Mammalia; Primates; Hominidae
Description: non-protein coding lnc-PRODH2-1:5
Source: RNAcentral
GGGAGGCCAAGGCAGGAGGAUCACUUGAGGUCAGGAAUUUGAGACCAGCCUGGCCAACAUGGUGAAACUCCCUCUCUAUUAAAAAUACAAAAAAUUAGCUGGGCGUGGUGGCACAGGCCUGUAAACCCAGCUACUUGGGAGGCUGAGGCAGAAGAAUCACUGGAACCCGGGAGGCAGAGGUUCUAGUGAGUUGAGAUGGCACCACUGCACUCCAGCCUGAGCAACAGAGCGAGAUUCUGUCUCCAAAAAAAAUAGAUAAAUAAAAAUAAAUUUACAUCAUAGUUUCAUUUCAGAAAAUGUCAAUAUAUUUUAAACCAUACCAAAAUUUUGUGUGUAUGGUAUAUGUGUUAUAUUAAUAAUUUCAGAUAACUGUAAACUUAUUUUACGCACAGAAGCGCCUGCAAAGACAUUUACAAACUGUUCUGGAUGCAGAUUUCAGCGUCCAGCAUUCCUGGUCCUGCCUCUAGAUGCCUGUAAUGCCCUCCAAUCAAUGCUGCAGCCAAAAACAAUUAUGCAAAUUUCCCAAGCUCCCACCAGGGUGCGGUCGUGUCCCGUUUGAGAAGAACCAAUCCAUGAGGGGAUUCUGAAUGAGCAUGUGUGUGUGUGUGUGUGUGUGUGUGUGUGUGUGUGUGUGUGUGUGUGUGUGUACAUUGGGUUCCAGAGCUCAGGAGAGAGGUCUGUGCUGGAGAUUAAAACUGGCUGGACUGUCCUCUGCUCCUAAGCUGUCACCAAACUCCAGUAUUAAGGGAUAAGUAGCUGUGCAGGGGCUGGAGACAAAGAAGACUCCAGGAGCACAGUGUGGGAAGGGAUUUCCCUAAAAUUGUUGCUGGAGAAUAACCCCCAAGUCAGGGAGUGGUAGGAAUUAAGGCUAGUGAGAUGGCCAAAGAUAAACCACAAAGCUCAUCUUAUGGGUUUGUGCUUUAUCCUGUGGGUGACAGGAAGCCAAUGAGUCGCUGCAGCAGCAGUGACAGACAGCAUUUAUGAGCUCCUAACACAUGCCAGCUCACAUUCUAUGUUCUGUAUAUGUAUCACCUCCUGGAACCAUCAGAGUCACGCAUGAGUCCAGUUUUUUGUUUCAUUUUGUUUUUAAUUAUUUGUUUAUUUAGAGAGAGAGUGCACCUGUGUUGCUGCUGGAGUGCAGUUAUGCGAUCUUGGCUCACUGCAACCUCCACCUCCCGGGUUCAAGCGAUUCUUAUGCCUCAGCCUCCCGGUAGCUGGGAUUACAGGCGCCUGCCACCACCCCCAGCUAGUUUUUGUAUUUUUAGUAGAGAAGAGGUUUCGCCAUGUUGGCCAGGCUGGUCUCAAACUCCUGACCUCAGGUGAUCCACCCGCCACGGCCUCCCAAAGUGCUGGUACUGCAGGCAUGAGCCACCACGCCCCAGGUAGGUUUUGUGCAUUGGUUGAGCACUCUUGAAGCUCCAGAAACAGGCACAGCACUGGAGCUGGCUGGAAUACCUUAUUCUUCAAUCCCAGUGAUUGGUAUGGGGUCACCUGGUGACCCAACCAGAGAGAAUAAGAGGGACUCUCCCACCUAUGGCUCUGCCUCUCUGCUGGUGUUAGAGCCCCUUUGCCUCUUACCACAAAAUGGACAAUCACCCACAGAAGGACCGGCUGGGAACUUUAUUCCAGAACCUUCCAUGGCUACUGUUGAGCAGCCCAUUGUGUUCUGUUUUGCAGGGCACUCAGGAUUCCCCAGUGACCAGGUGUGGGUGGCUCAUGUCUGUAAUCCAAGCACUUUGGGAGGCUGAGACAGGAGGACCACCUGAGACCAGGAGUUCCAGACCAGCCCAGGCAGCACAGAGAGACCCCAUCUCUACAAAAAACACAAAAAUUACCCAGCUGUGGUGCCACACUCCUGUAGUCCCAGCAACUCGGGAGACUGAGGCAGGAGGAUCCCUUGAGCCCAGUAGUUCAAAGCUGCAGUGAGCUAUGAGAGCUAUGAUCGAUCACACCACUGUACUACAGCCUGGGUGACAGAACAGGACCCUGUCUCUAAAACAAAACGAAACAAAAAUUCUCUCCACCUAGUCUCUCCCUCUCCCACACUCUCAUUUUCAACUUCACUUUCCCCCAAUCCAGGUUGUGUGCCUCAGAUAGGUGAGAAAAAUGCUUUUCCUUCUUAUAGCCAUAUUUGUUUCUACCUCCUUGCCUUUAAUUUGUCUGUGGUCUCAACCUGGGAUACCCACCCUCUUGAUGUAAUUGAAUUGGUGGAGCAUCUAGUCCAGGCUACACUCUGGAGGAUGCAAAGAUAAAUAAUAGACCUCGGUAGCUUCAAUGCUCUG